RNAcentral lists this long non-coding RNA (296 nucleotides) under Zea mays. RNAcentral describes it as "drought responsive lncRNA". Lineage: Eukaryota; Viridiplantae; Streptophyta; Magnoliopsida; Poales; Poaceae. The record is from RNAcentral.
ACCGGAGCUUGACAAUGUCGUGGCGUAGCAAGAAAUAACGACAACACUAUGGCUAGUGUGACAGUCGCGGGCAGUAGGGGGCCUCGACGUCGCAGUGGAGUGGACGUACGACCAGAGCACCACGUCGGGUCGACCAGAGAGAGGCUCCCGGCGUGCGACAAUGUGAAGAGGAUGGCUCGCCCAUGGAUUUGAGUUGCACAUGUGCUGUCCAAAGGCUUGGGAUUUUCGUCGAACACACGAUGCACGAAGCGCGACAUCAACAACGAGCGGAGUUUGUGACGUCGCAUAGGGGCUGC